AUUUCUCGUCUCAACUAUGUUGUUAUUACCCUUAUUCCAAAAGUUAAAGGAGCCGAGCUAAUUUCUUAGUUCAGACCUAUCGCUCUUAACAACAAUUUUGCUAAAUCCCCUGUAAAGGGUUUUGCGACCCGUCUCACUCCUAUCGCUCAUAGAACUAUCAGCCCCUUCCAAUCUGCUUUCAUCAAAGGACGUUUUAUUCUAUAUGGGAUCCUCUGCCUUCAUGAAAUCGUGCACGACCUCAAAAUUCUUAAAUUUAAAGCGGUUAUUCUCAAAUUGGACUUUGAGAAAGCCUACGACUCGGUCAGUUGGUCGUUCCUAAGAAAGGUUCUUUUAGCUAAAGGCUUUGAUGGAGCUUAUGUUCAUAGGAUCAUGAAGUUGGUCUCGGGGGCCACACUGCGACUUCUGUUAAUGGUCAAGUCAGUAACUACUUUGCCAACGGUAGGGUCCUGUGGCAGGGCGACCGAGCCUCUCCGAUCUUGUUCAACUUUGUCGCAGAUGCGUUCUGAUACGUCUCCAAUGUAUCUAUAA
Molecule: ribosomal RNA, 528 nt
Filed under: Triticum aestivum (bread wheat)
Lineage: Eukaryota; Viridiplantae; Streptophyta; Magnoliopsida; Poales; Poaceae
Description: partial small subunit ribosomal RNA
Source: RNAcentral